This 372-nucleotide ribosomal RNA is filed under the name uncultured bacterium. RNAcentral describes it as "bacterial SSU rRNA". It matches the Rfam family "Bacterial small subunit ribosomal RNA", at positions 521 to 896 of the family's 1533-position model. The record is from RNAcentral.
UAAUACGGAAGGAGCAAGCGCUGUCCGGAAUCACUGGGUGUAAAGGGGGUGUAGGCGGGCCUUUAAGUCGAGGAUGAAAGAUGUGAGCUCAACUCGCAAAUGCUUCCGAUACUGAAGGCCUUGAGCAUGAGAGGGGAGAGUGGAACUCCCGGUGUAGCGGUGGAAUGCGUAGAGAUCGGGAAGAACACUCGUGGCGAAGGCGGCUCUCUGGCUCAUUGCUGACGCUGAGGCCCGAAAGCCAGGGGAGCAAACAGGAUUAGAUACCCUGGUAGUCCUGGCCGUAAACGAUGAUCACUAGGUGUUCGCCAUUUAUGGGGAGUGCCGUAGCUAACGCGUUAAGUGAUCCACCUGGGAACUACGACCGCAAGGUUG